CUAAUAGAAUACUAACUAAACUCUAAUUAGAUCAUAACAAUACAAAGCAAGCUUUAAUCAAAUUUAAAAAAAUAUCAAAGGAAUUACAAAGAAACAAUAAAAAAUCUUAAAAAAAUAUUAGAAUGAUUACAAAUAUAUCUCAAAUACAUCUCAAUUCAAUCUUAAUUUAAUUCUAGUUAAAAUCCUAUUGAACUUCAUUCAAAUUUUAGGUCAAAAACUAAAUAAAUCUUAAAUCCUAAAAAAACUCAAAUAAAACCUUUAACUCUAAAUCAAACCCUAAUCAAAUCCUAAAUCCUAAACCAAAUCAUAACCAAAUCCUAAUCUUAAAUUAAACCCUAAUUAAAUUCUAAAUCCUAAAUCAAAUCCUAACCAAAUCCUAAAUCAAAUCCUAACCAAAUCCUAAUCCUAAAUCAAACCCUAAUCAAAUCCUAAUCUUAAAUCAAAUCCUAAUCAAAUUCUAACUCUAAAUCAAAUCCUAACCAAAUCCUAAUCUUAAAUCAAAUCCUAACCAAAUUCUAAUCCUAAAUCAAAUCCUAAACCAAAUCCUAAAUCCUAAA
RNAcentral lists this long non-coding RNA (557 nucleotides) under Physcomitrium patens. RNAcentral's name for it is "long non-coding RNA (PPAT_LNC012277)". The record is from RNAcentral. Lineage: Eukaryota; Viridiplantae; Streptophyta; Bryopsida; Funariales; Funariaceae.